This 2882-nucleotide ribosomal RNA is filed under the name human gut metagenome. RNAcentral's name for it is "bacterial LSU rRNA". It matches the Rfam family "Bacterial large subunit ribosomal RNA". The record is from RNAcentral.
AGGGCGUAUGGCGGAUGCCUAGGCUCACGGAGGCGAUGAAGGACGUGAUAAGCUGCGAUAAGCUUCGGGUAGGUGCAAAUAACCCUUGAUCCGGAGAUUUCCGAAUGGGACAACCUAGCCGUCUGAAGGACGGUUACUAGCACUUAAGUGUUAGAGCUAACGCAGGGAACUGAAACAUCUUAGUACCUGCAGGAAGAGAAAAUAAAUGAAUGAUUCCCCCAGUAGUGGCGAGCGAACGGGGAACAGCCCAAACCAGUGGCGUCGCAAGGCGUGGCUGGGGUUGUAGGACCGCGACAUUGUAUGCAAAUCGUGAACAGAACACUUUGGAAAAUGUGACCAUAGACGGUGAUAGUCCAGUAUGUGAAGCGAAAUGCGGCAUAGCGGUAUCCUGAGUAACGCGGGACACGAGGAAUCCUGCGCGAAUCUGCCGGGACCAUCCGGUAAGGCUAAAUACUCCCGUGAGACCGAUAGCGAACGAGUACUGUGAAGGAAAGGUGAAAAGAACCCCGAGCAGGGGAGUGAAAUAGUUCCUGAAACCAUACGCCUACAAGCGGUCGGAGCAUCGCAAGAUGUGACGGCGUGCCUUUUGCAUAAUGAUCCUACGAGUUACCGUCACUGGCGAGGUUGAGUGUCACGAGACACGUAGCCGCAGUGAAAGCGAGCCUGAACAGGGCGCACAGUCAGUGGGGGUAGACGCGAAACCAAGUGAUCUACACUUGGCCAGGAUGAAGUCCCGGUAACACGGGAUGGAGGUCCGCACCAAUAAGCGUUGAAAAGCUUCUGGAUGAGCCGAGUGUAGGAGUGAAAGGCCAAUCAAACUUGGAGAUAGCUCGUACUCCCCGAAAGGCAUUUAGGUGCCGCGUCGGAUGGUCACCGUGAGAGGUAGAGCGACCGAUAGGACAAGAGGGCUUCACCGCCUAUCGAGUCCUGACGAACUCCGAAUGCUCACGGUCUGCAGUCCGGCAGUAAGGGGGCGGGUGCUAAGGUCCGUCCCCGAGAGGAGAAGAAUCCAGACCGCCGUCUAAGGUCCCGGAGUUCUGCCUGAGUUAGUCUAACGAAGUCUGGUCCCUAUGACAGCUAGGAUGUUGGCUUGGAAGCAGCCAUUCAUUCAAAGAGUGCGUAACAGCUCACUAGUCGAGGGUCCGGGCAUGGAUAAUAAUCGGGUAUAAGGCAGACACCGAAGGCGCGGGAUAGCAUUUAAGAAAGUAUCGGUAGGGGAGCAUACUCACAGCGUCGAAUGGUGUACGUAAGUUAUCCUGGAGCGGUGAGUAAAGCAAAUGUAGGAAUAAGUAACGAUAAGGAGGGUUAGAUUCCCUCCCGCUGUAAGACCAAGGUUUCCCGGGCAAUGCCAAUCAGCCCGGGGUCAGUCGGGUCCUAAGUCUAAGCCGAACGGCGAUGGCGAUGGCAGAGACGGUUAAUAUUCCGUCACUGCCGCAUGGGGCGACGUGGAGACGGAGCAGUGAAACCACCGCGGGGCGACGGAAGUCCCCGUUGAAGAGUGUAGGCGUUGAGGAUGGCAGGCAAAUCCACCAUCCGAGCUGAACUUGACAGUACGGAGUCCUCCUCGGAGGAAUCUGAUAGUGUGGGUAAUCAUACUCCCGAGAAAAUCCGCUAAGCUUAACCCAUGCGGCACCCGUACCGCAAACGGACACACGUGGUCGGGUAGAACAUACUAAGGCGUUGAGAGAUUCAUGGUUAAGGAACUAGGCAAAUUGACCCUGUAACUUCGGGAUAAAGGGUCCUCGUGAUGAGCGAGGCGCAGAGAAUAGGUCCAGGCAACUGUUUAACAAAAACACAGGGCUGUGCAAACUCGAAAGAUGACGUAUACAGCCUGACACCUGCCCGGUGCCGGAAGGUUAAGAGGAGAUGUCACAGCAAUGGGAAGCAUUGAAUUGAAGCCCCGGUAAACGGCGGCCGUAACUAUAACGGUCCUAAGGUAGCGAAAUUCCUUGUCGGGUAAGUUCCGACCUGCACGAAUGGUGUAAUGAUCCGGACGCUGUCUCAACCAUGAGCUCAGUGAAAUUGUAGUAUCGGUGAAGAUGCCGAUUACCCGCGAUGGGACGAAAAGACCCCGUGAACCUUUACUACAGCUUAGCAUUGACCUUGGUCAUCCGAUGUGUAGGAUAGGCCGGAGGCUUCGAAGCGGGAGCGCCAGCUUUCGUGGAGCCAUCCUUGAAAUACGGCCCUUUGGCUGUCUGAGGUCUAACGCGCGAUGCGCGGACACUGCUUGGUGGGUAGUUUGACUGGGGUGGUCGCCUCCAAAAGCGUAACGGAGGCUUCCAAAGGUGCCCUCGGGUCGAUUGGUAACCGACCUCAAAGAGUGCAAUGGCAUAAGGGCGCUUGACUGGGAGGCAGACAUGCCGAGCAGGCAGGAAACUGGGGCAUAGUGAUCCGGCGGAUGUGUAUGGAAACUCCGUCGCUCAAAGGAUAAAAGGUACUCCGGGGAUAACAGGCUGAUCCCCCCCAAGAGCUCAUAUCGACGGGGUGGUUUGGCACCUCGAUGUCGGCUCGUCACAUCCUGGGGCUGGAGAAGGUCCCAAGGGUUGGGCUGUUCGCCCAUUAAAGUGGCACGCGAGCUGGGUUCAGAACGUCGUGAGACAGUUCGGUCUCUAUCUAUCGUGGGCGUGGGAGUUUUGAGUGGUGCCGUCACUAGUACGAGAGGACCGUGAUGGACAGACCUCCGGUUUACCAGUUGUGCCGCCAGGCGCACCGCUGGGUAUCUGAGUCUGGAUUGGAUAAGCGCUGAAAGCAUCUAAGUGCGAAGCCAGCCGCAAGAUGAGAACUCCAUUGAGGGUCGUCAGAGACGAUGACGUUGAUAGGAUGCAGGUGUAAAGACAGCGAUGUCAAAGCCGAGCAUUACUAAUUGCCCGAACACUUUCUUU